This 176-nucleotide ribosomal RNA is filed under the name Methanobacteriota archaeon. RNAcentral describes it as "Euryarchaeota archaeon partial 16S ribosomal RNA". It matches the Rfam family "Archaeal small subunit ribosomal RNA", at positions 1302 to 1478 of the family's 1478-position model. The record is from RNAcentral. Lineage: Archaea; Methanobacteriati; Methanobacteriota.
GUCUCAAAAGGCGCGGUGAAUACGCCCCUGUUCCUUGCACACACCGCCCGUCAAACCAUCUUAGUUGGGGGUGGGUGAGGCUGCCUUUUAGUGGGGUANUCGAGCCUGCNUUCGACAAGGAGGGUUAAGUCGUAACAAGGUAUCUGUAGGGGAACCUGCAGAUGGAUCACCUCCUA